Non-coding RNA from Monodelphis domestica (gray short-tailed opossum), 930 nucleotides. The record is from RefSeq and is a predicted model, not a curated record. NCBI's taxonomy places the organism in Eukaryota, Metazoa, Chordata, Mammalia, Didelphimorphia, Didelphidae.
GGUGAUAGAGAACCACUGGAGCUAACUGAAUAAGUACAUGACAUGGCUAGAUCUUUACUUAAGGGGGCAUGAUAGAGAGCAAGGAUACUGGCAAGUCACAAGCUCACCUCAGCACUAUGGAACAGAGGAGGAGGAGGAGGAUAAGGAGGAGGAUUCACAGGUUGGAAGUAUUUCUGUCAGUCAUAGACCAGGCACCUCAGCUCCUUUUCUUAUGCCAACCUUCCUCACAGGAGCUUGGGCAUCCAGCAAAGGCACUGGAUCCCAUGGAUUAAAUCAUUUGGUGAACUAGUGCAUAUUGAAUUCCUCUCCUAUAGGGCCCUGAGUUUGUACAGAGCAUCCACAACUGCUCUGAGUUCUCUGCUUUUAGGUACAAGAAAUUUCUGCCCAUCUUGAAACAUUUUCCUUUUUUUCCGGUUUUAGCACCAGACCCAGCAGUAGCACCUGGUUGUCCCCUGUGGGCCACAGAGCCUGGAGGCUCCCAAGCUGCUAGUUUAAGCUUCCAGGCUUUCACCACCAUUCCCGAGGUGCUGUACACAGAAGAUAUACAUCUUUCUGGAUCUGACAAGUUCAACUUCACCAAAAGAACCCUGCAGCAACCUUUGAAGAAUGGCUCAGAAACUGGAGUGAGUUGCCUGUACACACACAAGAGAAACCAAAGAAGCUCAUUCAGAGACCAAGAGAAGGUUUAUUGGGAUGCAAAAAGAGAAUUUCACUAAGCUGGGCUUUUCCUCCUCCCUUGAAAGAGACAGUCUACUCAAUGAUGAGGAGCACAACAGAAUCCCCAGCCUUUUCCUCUAUCCUCAUGCUACUUUCCCCUCCUCCUGCUAAAUUUCCAUUCUGAUUCUGACCUUAAUAUUCUCUCAAAGAAUCAUUACUUCUCAAUACCCUUUUAUUACACCAACCACAGAAAAUAAACCCUACCCCUAUCUA